Molecule: ribosomal RNA, 469 nt
Filed under: uncultured bacterium
Lineage: Bacteria
Description: bacterial SSU rRNA
Rfam family: Bacterial small subunit ribosomal RNA
Source: RNAcentral
UGGCCAGACUCCUACGGGAGGCAGCAGUGAGGAAUAUUGGUCAAUGGCCGAGAGGCUGAACCAGCCAAGUCGCGUGAGGGAUGACGGCCCUACGGGUUGUAAACCUCUUUUGCCGGGGAGCAAAGAGCGGGACGCGUCCCGCCUCGAGAGUACCCGGAGAAAAAGCAUCGGCUAACUACGUGCCAGCAGCCGCGGUAAUACGUAGGUGGCAAGCGUUAUCCGGAUUUAUUGGGUGUAAAGGGCGUGUAGGCGGGAAUGCAAGUCAGAUGUGAAAACUCAGGGCUCAACCCUGAGCCUGCAUUUGAAACUGUGUUUCUUGAGUGCUGGAGAGGCAAUCGGAAUUCCGUGUGUAGCGGUGAAAUGCGUAGAUAUACGGAGGAACACCAGUGGCGAAGGCGGAUUGCUGGACAGUAACUGACGCUGAGGCGCGAAAGCGUGGGGAGCAAACAGGAUUAGAUACCCGCGUACU